UACACAGAGACUGUCUGAAGUAUGAUGAGAAGUAGGUCUACUAAGGUCACAAUCAAAAAUGGCAGUAUGUGCAUAGACUGUUUACAUCUUUUUCCUUAGUUCUGUCAAAAAAAAAAAAAGUUUUUUUUUUUUUGUUUUUUUUUUUUUUUUAAGACGCCUUUAUGUACACAGUCUUCUGGGGGAGAGGCCAGCAGUGGCUCAGAUCAAGGUGGAAUGAAAACAUUUCAGGGAAAGGAUUUUGCUUCUAGAAUCCCCAGCAAGGUGGGGGAAGAAUGAAGUAGAUACCAAGACACUCUGGAGAAAGUAAUCUUGGAAGGUUCAGCAAUACAAUGAAGUACAAGUACACUUUUGCAUCUGCCUAGUGAAGAAAUUAUAUGAGCCAGCUCAGGUGCCAAACUGUGAGAAAAGAAUUUAUAUGCCAAGAAGACAUCUACAUAAGCCCAGAAAUUAAAUUUCAUUUAGAGAAAAUUAGGCCAUUCAUUUCUUCUCUAGGUUGUUUUCUUUAGUAGGAAAAGACUGCAUAGUUGCCUUUCAACAUUACAAAAGAUUAUGAUCUGAAGAGAUAUAAUUCAUACUCAGGCUGUAAUACAAGCACUGUAAUACAAGCCAUGUAAUAUCAAUAUUCCACAUUCCUUAUUUGUCUACAUUACAAUAUGCUAUACAGUUCCAUGUAUAAAUUUACAUUUGAAUUAUACAAAGAUAUAACUUAAAAAAAAUCCUGAAGACGAGUUUCAAUUUGGAACUCUAACUUUGGGUUAAUACACUUUUAUCCUGUUCCAAAGUUCAGAUAUAGUUCACAUCACAGGGUCUAGGAUUGUAUCCUUCACGAAAAUUUUACUAACAGUAGAAGCCAUGCAGGCUGAGCAAACCCACUGUUUUCCUGUCUACAGUUUUUAACAAAAAGGGAAAAUUCUGCUAUUGAAAGAUUUCAUGCCAGAUCAAGCUGAACAUAUCACCACCCUCAUACAGUUAGAAAUCAGCUUGCUGAAAUCCAUCA
Molecule: long non-coding RNA, 997 nt
Filed under: Anas platyrhynchos platyrhynchos (common mallard)
Lineage: Eukaryota; Metazoa; Chordata; Aves; Anseriformes; Anatidae
Description: lncRNA (ENSAPLG00000029281.1)
Source: RNAcentral